RNAcentral lists this ribosomal RNA (478 nucleotides) under uncultured bacterium. RNAcentral's name for it is "partial 16S ribosomal RNA". It matches the Rfam family "Bacterial small subunit ribosomal RNA", at positions 28 to 523 of the family's 1533-position model. The record is from RNAcentral.
GACGAACGCUGGCGGCGUGCUUAACACAUGCAAGUCGAACGGUAAGGCCCUUCGGGGUACACGAGUGGCGAACGGGUGAGUAACACGCGGGUGAUCUGCCCUGCACUUCGGGAUAAGCCUGGGAAACUGGGUCUAAUACCGGAUAGGACCACUGCCUGCAUGGGCGGUGGUGGAAAGCUUUUGCGGUGUGGGAUGGGCCCGCGGCCUAUCAGCUUGUUGGUGGGGUGAUGGCCUACCAAGGCGACGACGGGUAGCCGGCCUGAGAGGGUGACCGGCCACACUGGGACUGAGAUACGGCCCAGACUCCUACGGGAGGCAGCAGUGGGGAAUAUUGCACAAUGGGCGCAAGCCUGAUGCAGCGACGCCGCGAGAGGGAUGACGGCCUUCGGGUUGUAAACCUCUUUCAGCACCGACGAAGCGCAAGUGACGGUAGGUGCAGAAGAAGGACCGGCCAACUACGUGCCAGCAGCCGCGGUAA